Molecule: non-coding RNA, 73 nt
Organism: Jaculus jaculus (lesser Egyptian jerboa)
Lineage: Eukaryota; Metazoa; Chordata; Mammalia; Rodentia; Dipodidae
Source: the annotation of a RefSeq genome assembly
GCCCGGCUAGCUCAGUUGGUAGAGCAUGAGACUCUUAAUCUCAGGGUCGUGGGUUCAAGCCCCAUGUUGGGCA